Molecule: long non-coding RNA, 205 nt
Filed under: Olea europaea (common olive)
Lineage: Eukaryota; Viridiplantae; Streptophyta; Magnoliopsida; Lamiales; Oleaceae
Description: long non-coding RNA (OEUR_LNC000088)
Source: RNAcentral
UUCUACAACUUCACCCCUAUCCACGUGGGUGUAUUCAGAGGACGAUACUCGAACUGGAAUGGUGAAAUUUGUUGCCGCCACUGAGUUGCCUCUGACUAUUGCAGACAACCAACACUUCGUCUCGUUCGUGAAAGAAUAUCUACAACCGAGGUACGUUGGGGUAAGUCGAAACACUCUUCGUGCCGAUACAAUAAAUUAUUUCAAU